GCGGAUGUGGUGGAAUUGGUAGACACGCAUGCCUUAGGAGCAUGUGCCCUCGUGGCGUGAAGGUUCAAAUCCUUUCAUCCGCACCA
Molecule: transfer RNA, 86 nt
Filed under: Nanosynbacter sp.
Lineage: Bacteria; Bacillati; Minisyncoccota; Nanosynbacteria; Nanosynbacterales; Nanosynbacteraceae
Also listed under: 1 other name
Description: Candidatus Nanosynbacter sp. tRNA-Leu
Rfam family: tRNA
About the family: Transfer RNA (tRNA) molecules are approximately 80 nucleotides in length. Their secondary structure includes four short double-helical elements and three loops (D, anti-codon, and T loops). Further hydrogen bonds mediate the characteristic L-shaped molecular structure. tRNAs have two regions of fundamental functional importance: the anti-codon, which is responsible for specific mRNA codon recognition, and the 3' end, to which the tRNAs corresponding amino acid is attached (by aminoacyl-tRNA synthetases). tRNAs cope with the degeneracy of the genetic code in two manners: having more than one tRNA (with a specific anti-codon) for a particular amino acid; and 'wobble' base-pairing, i.e. permitting non-standard base-pairing at the 3rd anti-codon position.
Source: RNAcentral